Molecule: ribosomal RNA, 301 nt
Filed under: uncultured bacterium
Lineage: Bacteria
Description: partial 16S ribosomal RNA
Rfam family: Bacterial small subunit ribosomal RNA
Source: RNAcentral
CAGCAGCCGCGGUAAUACGUAGGUCCCGAGCGUUGUCCGGAUUUAUUGGGCGUAAAGCGAGCGCAGGCGGUUUGAUAAGUCUGAAGUUAAAGGCUGUGGCUCAACCAUAGUUCGCUUUGGAAACUGUCAAACUUGAGUGCAGAAGGGGAGAGUGGAAUUCCAUGUGUAGCGGUGAAAUGCAUAGAUAUAUGGAGGAACACCGGUGGCGAAAGCGUCUCUCUGGUCUGUAACUGACGCUCAUGCACGAAAGCGUGGGGAGCAAACAGGAUUAGAGACCCCUGUAGUCCCUGUCUCUUAUACA